This 602-nucleotide long non-coding RNA is filed under the name Solanum tuberosum (potato). RNAcentral's name for it is "long non-coding RNA (STUB_LNC011666)". Lineage: Eukaryota; Viridiplantae; Streptophyta; Magnoliopsida; Solanales; Solanaceae. The record is from RNAcentral.
UUAUUACUUUUGAACUAAAAGGUUCGGGUAAUUUUGUAAAAUAUAGUUUCCUUAUUUCUUUACUUUCUUCUACACUAUAUGUUCCUUUAUAAUCGUAUUCUCUGUGGUUUUUUAUAUUUAUAUUUUGAUCUGUAUUUUUUUUAUAUUUCUUUUUAUAGUAUCUGUCUGUAUAUCCAAAUUGGGGUGCUGUUUUAUUUUUGCAACAUGCUAAGUUUUUUACUAAUAUUUUCUCCAUUUUCAUUUCUUCUUUAUGUUUUUCACAUAGUUCUAUAAAUAAUCGUUGUAAAAAAUUCAUUCUAGCUCCUAGGGUAUCUGGUAGUCCUGCUUCAUUCCAAUCUUUUAUUACUUUUGAACUAAAAGGUUCGGGUAAUUUUGUAAAAUAUAGUUUCCUUAUUUCUUUACUUUCUUCUACACUAUAUGUUCCUUUAUAAUCGUAUUCUCUGAAUGCACACGUAUAUUCAUCUAUGUAACACAUAUUACAUAUUGCUAAUUUUGUCAUUAAAUUUCUGUUUAUAAUUUUUUCUUUAUUUUCUUCUUCUACUUCUGUUGUCAUACUACUGAAUUCAUUUCUUAUAGCUAUUUCAUAUUUAUAUAAUAUUUCC